AGACACACACACCAAAACGGAGCGUUCUGAGAGAGCUGGUUUAUACAGGGUCUCAAACCUCCUCUGGUGCUUGAUUCAUGUUAUAUUUUGACCAAAGCACAGCACAGAUGUUUCAUUUAGACCACAGGGGGACUGUUUGAAAAGGUGGGGGAGGGGGAUGAUAUGUCCUCUUUAACAGAUGUAUCAGUGAUUGCACGGCUCUGGAUUGGCACAGCUCUCUUUAUUGUUUCUGCACAUUCACAUCUCUUACCUCCAGCAAAGUUUACAUUCAGAGUUAGACAUGCUUGACACAUUUGUGUAUUUCAUUGUUCACAUCUUAGACUUUAGAAGUAAUGCUAAGUUAAAUCCUGGACGUAUACAUUUCUUCUUAUUCUUAUUUUUUAGUGCUUAUUUACUUUGUAUUUGUUCCUCUAUUGUUUUAUUUGCUCUGAUAACCUGCUGCUGUAACACCACAAUUUACCAGUUUGGGAUCAAUAAAGUAAAUCUAUCUAUCUAUGGA
This is a long non-coding RNA of Labrus mixtus (cuckoo wrasse), 499 nucleotides long. RefSeq lists it as uncharacterized. The transcript is spliced from 2 exons. The record is from RefSeq and is a predicted model, not a curated record. NCBI's taxonomy places the organism in Eukaryota, Metazoa, Chordata, Actinopteri, Labriformes, Labridae.